CGCCCGGAUGGCGGAGGCGGUGGCCGCACUGCCGCUGUCGGUGGCGGGGCACCCGUACAACUCCGAGGCACUGGUCCACGGUCUGGCGGC
Molecule: transfer RNA, 90 nt
Filed under: Streptomyces morookaense
Lineage: Bacteria; Bacillati; Actinomycetota; Actinomycetes; Kitasatosporales; Streptomycetaceae
Description: tRNA-Asp
Source: RNAcentral